This is a non-coding RNA of Pelobates cultripes (western spadefoot toad), 459 nucleotides long. NCBI's taxonomy places the organism in Eukaryota, Metazoa, Chordata, Amphibia, Anura, Pelobatidae. The record is from the annotation of a GenBank genome assembly.
UUGUAUAAAUGUCUAUUCUGCACAAGGUACAGACAAGUCUGGUGGGAUCCAUGCCUGGUUCAUUUUAAUAAACGUGAACUUGUCCAUGUUGGCCAUGGACAGGCGGUUGCGCUUGCCUGUGAUAACCUCGUGCAGAUUACACGCCCUGUGACGGCAACAACGCAUUCGGAUGUCUGCCCUAUCAACUUUCGAUGCAAUUUUCCGUGCCUACCAUGAUGACCAUGGGUAAUGGGGAAUCAGGGUUCGAUUCCAGAGAGGGAGCCUGAGAAAUGGCUACCACACGCAAGGAAGGCAGCAGGUGUGCAAAUUACCCACUCCCGAUGUGGGGAGGUAGGGACGACAAAUAACAAUACACUACUCUUUCGAGGCCCUGUAAUUGUGCACUUUAAAUCUUUUAACUUGGAUCAAUUGGAGGUGCAGAGCGACUGACCCGUGCGUGCUGCAGCUGAAACUCCGCUA